Long non-coding RNA from Dromaius novaehollandiae (emu), 2417 nucleotides. The record is from Ensembl. NCBI's taxonomy places the organism in Eukaryota, Metazoa, Chordata, Aves, Casuariiformes, Dromaiidae.
AUGUUGUUUCGGGGCACUGGGCUUCUCUGGUUUUUGUUUUAUGGCUGUAUCUCUCCCAUGCUGGGACUUGCUACAGCCUCUUGUGUUCUGCCCUGCAGACAUGACACCUCCACCUUAGGAAGGGAAGGCACUCUGCACAGUUAUUCCUCCAAGAGGAGAAUGUCAUGGGGUGGGGUAGGAAUGUGUAUGGAAGCUGGGAUAACGCAGAUGAGGCUAAUGUACCCCAAAAGUGCUGAUACAGUUUUCAUUCCUGAUGUUCCUCCACCAUCAUGUCCACAAGCCGGGUGGAGACAUGGGACUGCUUUUCCUGUCUGCCUUYCACCUGGCUCAGUUGCACAAGUGACCCCACGAUUUCUGUCCCAUGAGGUUGUGCUGUGUUUGCAGGGCCUCACUGCAGCCCAAGGCCACUUCCCACCUGCAAAGGGGCAGCCCAGGAGCUGCCCUUCUUGCACGUAGGGUUUGAACUCGCUCCGAGGAUGGGGUAGGAAGGUCAUGGGUUUCACGUCUCCAUAGCUUUUGUCAUUCCUCCAACAAGGUCUCUAAAGAGCCUACCCUCAUGCACAGGCACCCACAGGUGGGUCUCCAAGUCCAUCCUCCGACACGCCACUGCRAGUGUCCCUCAGCUGAAGAGCUUUCCUCCUUUUUUCCAGGUUGGGCUGUUGAAUACUUGGAUUUUUUUGAUAUGGACUUGGGCCCCUACCUCUGAGGUGCCAACUUGGGAAUGUUUCAGCCCAGAAACACUUAGAGAAACAUAAAUACCUGGGCAUUUUUUUUCCAACUGGGUUUCAAAUUAGAAAUCCUGAUGAGCUCCGUUUCUUCACAAAAGUCUCAGGACAGCGGGAGAAGUAGGAGACUGACAGCACUGUAGACACAUAGUGCCAGAGUGAGGCCUGAGCAAUCGGGGGCUUCAUGUAUGGGCUGGUUGUCAGGUCUUUGUACUUGUAUGUUAAUCCCUAUUUUGCCUCAGAUGCCAAGACAUGUUGAAAGGAGAGAUCACCGCCUUAAAAAUCUGACAUAUUUGCCGAUUCAGUAAUUACUCGAAUUCUCUCUCUUGACUCUUCCAGGAAAACCAGGGAACUGACACCCCCGUGGCUUUGACUACAAACAAGCCACCCUUUCCUGCCCUGUUCAGAAGAAGUAAAGGCACAAACUGGGUUGCCUCGCUCCUCAUCCAUACCCACCUCCCUCACCCCCUCCACGAAAACCCUGUAUUUUUCACAAAUUUGCAGUGACGGGGCUCCAAAUUGUAGCAAGCCCUUUGGAAAUCCAAGGGAUGGCAAGGCGGAGAUGCACUAUCCAGCCAACCAAGAGGUUUGUAGGGUUUGCCCAGGGAGCAAAUCAUGGCUGAACCUUGUGCAAGGGAUCAGUGUGACCAGGAAUUCAUAGAUGUGUCUUUCCACCUGUAUCAUUUUGGUUACGAUGUUUGUGUUUCCCCUCCAUUCUCCAUCUUUUCCAGUUGGACACAGCGCAUGGUGGGAGCAGCAAUUGGAAGGAGGACAAUAUGUCCAUUGCAAAUGGCCAGCUCUUUAUUCAACAAAGAUUUGGCUACACAUAUUUAAAGACUUCGCAUUUGUAAAUUUAUAUUAUGGGUCUUGCAAUAAGGCUGACACUGUGGUGCUUGGGCUGAGAGCUUUGGAUGAGGCUUAUGGAUAACAGAUUUUCUGAGGAUGCAAAGAGUCUUGCUCUAUCUAUAAUAGAACGAGUCGCUUUAUUUUAUAUUUUUUUUUUCUUGGGUUUGUUUCUUAUUAGUCCCAGUGGGGAAGCACACGGGGAGAUUCGUGACUUAUAUGCAGUUUCCAAGUUCUUAUAUCUCAUUCACKUCCAACAGGCUGGGUAGGUGCAGUGCAGCGGGUGGAUUUUGAUGGGAUCCUGUCUGGUGGGAGGAAAACGUGCCUGGUUUCCUUGCGCAGCGUGGGGUCCUGGGAUGGUUGCAAUCACACUCGCAGGCUCCAGCAGACAUUCCAGGGGAGGGGGCGUUUUUGACACGUUCUGCUUUCCUUCAGGCAAUGAUCUCCCAAAAAACUCUUGACUUCCCUGCUGUUUCUUUCUGUGCAACAAAGAACUGCAUAUUUUCCUUUCUAACUCCACGGGCAAUCAUAGUAGUAUGUAGAUUAAGCCCAGAUGACAUUUUUCUUUUUUUUUUUUUUUUUUUUUGGUCUGAGCCAUAGCUAAAUUAUUAUACCCAAUGCUUUUUGUAUCAGACAGCAUCACUUUGAAUAUGCAGAUGAGGUAUAGGAUCUUGACACUUUAUAACCUUUUUAAAAAGAGAAUUUUCUGUUUACUUAUGUCUUGUGUAAAAAGGAAAAAAAAUGUAUGCCUUUUAGUAAUCACUUUUUUUUUUUUUUUUGAGUUUUCUGAAAUUACGGUGGUUUCACUCCAGCAGCGGCGAAAUAAAAAWGCGUUCACUGUUUUGUACA